This 771-nucleotide ribosomal RNA is filed under the name Triticum aestivum (bread wheat). Its description in RNAcentral is "partial small subunit ribosomal RNA". The record is from RNAcentral. Lineage: Eukaryota; Viridiplantae; Streptophyta; Magnoliopsida; Poales; Poaceae.
AUGGAGACGGCCUUCUUCUCCGCCGCCUCCCUCUUCCACGCCGACGACGACAGCGACGACGACGGCGGCGGCACACGAGACGAGGCGCAGGUGGGCGCCGAGGGGGAGAGCCAGCAGCCGGCGCUGGAGUACGAGGAGAGGAUCCACAAGUUCCCCGGAGUGGACUUGAGCAUCAGAGAAUUCUCAUCUCAUCAGCUAAAUGCCAAUUUGCUAUGGCCUGGGACAUUUUUCUUUGCUGACUGGCUGGUUAAGAAUCCAUCAAUUCUGGAUGGUCAACGGAUCCUGGAACUAGGAAGUGGAACAGGAGCUUUAGCCAUUUUCCUGCAAAAAACAUUUGGAGUGGAUAUCACGACUUCUGAUUAUGAUGACAAGGAUAUUGAAGAAAACAUAGCUCACAACUGCAGAGUCAAUAAGUUGGAUGUGUUACCUCAUAUCCGACACACGUGGGGAGAUCCAUUUCCGAUUCUCCAACCUGCUUGGAACAUUGUCAUCGCCAGUGACAUUCUAUUAUAUGUGAAACAGUACCCGAACCUGAUAAUGACGCUGUCCUUUCUUCUGGAAGAAUCCGAUCUUAACAGCCAAAAAGGUGUAUGCACAAACAUCACGACCAAAGCAGGAACACAAGUGGCUGCCAGGUGCCCCAUGUUCCUGAUGAGCUGGCGUAGAAGGAUUGGGAAAGACCAGUCGAUUUUCUUCGAUGGAUGCGAGAAGGCAGGCCUGGAAGUGCAGCACCUGGGUGAUCUCGUGUACCUCAUCAACAAGAAACGCUGA